CCCUUAGAUGUCCUGGGCCGCACGCGCGUUACACUGAUGCAUUCAACGAGCUUAUAACCUUGGCCGAGAGGCCUGGGCAAUCUUGUUAACGUGCAUCGUGAUAGGGAUAGAUUAUUGACAUUAUUAAUCUUGAACGAGGAAUUCCUAGUAAACGCAGAUCAUCAAUCUGCAUUGAUUACGUCCCUGCCCUUUGUACACACCGCCCGUCGCACCUACCGAUUGGAUGGUCCGGUGAAGCCUCGGGAUUGUGGUUCUUGCCGCUUUAUUGUGGCGUGACCGCGAGAACUUGUCUAAACCUUAUCAUCUAGAGGAAGGUGAAGUCGUAACA
This 328-nucleotide ribosomal RNA is filed under the name uncultured eukaryote. RNAcentral's name for it is "partial 18S ribosomal RNA". It matches the Rfam family "Eukaryotic small subunit ribosomal RNA", at positions 1470 to 1796 of the family's 1831-position model. The record is from RNAcentral.